Molecule: ribosomal RNA, 510 nt
Filed under: Escherichia coli
Lineage: Bacteria; Pseudomonadati; Pseudomonadota; Gammaproteobacteria; Enterobacterales; Enterobacteriaceae
Description: partial 23S ribosomal RNA
Rfam family: Bacterial large subunit ribosomal RNA
Source: RNAcentral
UAACGUCCGUCGUGAAGAGGGAAACAACCCAGACCGCCAGCUAAGGUCCCAAAGUCAUGGUUAAGUGGGAAACGAUGUGGGAAGGCCCAGACAGCCAGGAUGUUGGCUUAGAAGCAGCCAUCAUUUAAAGAAAGCGUAAUAGCUCACUGGUCGAGUCGGCCUGCGCGGAAGAUGUAACGGGGCUAAACCAUGCACCGAAGCUGCGGCAGCGACGCUUAUGCGUUGUUGGGUAGGGGAGCGUUCUGUAAGCCUGUGAAGGUGUGCUGUGAGGCAUGCUGGAGGUAUCAGAAGUGCGAAUGCUGACAUAAGUAACGAUAAAGCGGGUGAAAAGCCCGCUCGCCGGAAGACCAAGGGUUCCUGUCCAACGUUAAUCGGGGCAGGGUGAGUCGACCCCUAAGGCGAGGCCGAAAGGCGUAGUCGAUGGGAAACAGGUUAAUAUUCCUGUACUUGGUGUUACUGCGAAGGGGGGACGGAGAAGGCUAUGUUGGCCGGGCGACGGUUGUCCCGGUU